GCUCGCUCUCUCCGCUGUAUUCGGAUCGAGCGCUAGCUACCGGCGACUCGAAGCGGAGGUACGGCACGAUCCAUUGGGGAUCGAGCAACCACGCCGGCGGCAACAUCCAUCGCAACACGGCGUUCCCAGGCGGCGCCGGCCCUUGUGGCGACGGUAUCACGGCAUCGAUCCAUCGGCUCUUCCUAUCUAGCCGUCUGCCCAUGCGAGACACAUCUACCGUGGGCAUAGAUGGUGCUGACAACAGAACACUCCAGCAUGUAUGGUCGUCUGGCGACGGUGCUGAGUCCAUGAUUCCGUUGAUCCAGUAA
Molecule: long non-coding RNA, 308 nt
Filed under: Oryza sativa tropical japonica subgroup
Lineage: Eukaryota; Viridiplantae; Streptophyta; Magnoliopsida; Poales; Poaceae
Description: lncRNA OsCMeo_09g0005190
Source: RNAcentral